Molecule: long non-coding RNA, 3830 nt
Filed under: Ananas comosus (pineapple)
Lineage: Eukaryota; Viridiplantae; Streptophyta; Magnoliopsida; Poales; Bromeliaceae
Description: long non-coding RNA (ACOM_LNC022477)
Source: RNAcentral
GCAGGGGCAAAGACCUCUAUUUCAGGCUUCAAAGUUACUAUUUAUAGCCCGCAUUAUUAGUUGGUUGAAAGUAGUUGGGGGGAGUGGUUGUAACCAUGAUCGUGGAAGUUAUACUAACUCCUCAUGGAAGUUACGCUAACUCCUCAUGGAAGUUACGCCCCAAUCUUCAACCUUCCCGCCUUCUUGUCCUUCAAGCGCCUUAUUGCCGACUCCUGGUGUACCACGUGUCCUUAUUGGCUCAUACGUGGGUUAGGUCGGCUCAAUUUUGGUAUCAACAAUGCCCCCCCAAUAGUCUUUCGAAUGAACAUUCGGAUGACUAUUGGUGCCAAAUCGAUUGUUCAAAAGCACAGCCGAGACCCAAGCUUUAGUUUCGCUGGUCUUGGUCGGCUUUAGGAAAACGGUGCUUUAUCAUCCCAGCCACAUAUAUUUCUGCUUCAUCAGCUGAUUCUUUACUUUUAUUCUAUUAGUUCGGCUCUUCUUGAACUGAAUGUUUUUCUAUCAAGAAAUUCUUCUUAAAGAAAGUGGCUAUAUCUCGGCUUCAUCAGCCAAUUCUUCACCUUCACUCGAUUUGCUCGGCUCGUCUUGAACCGACUGUUCUUCUAGCAAGGAUUUCUCCUUGCCUUUACUUUGAUUUUUAUAUCGGCUCCACUGCAGCCGAUCGUCCUCACUUUUCUUCUGAAAUUGCUCGUAUUGGGCAACUCGAACUCCCAAAUCAAAAAGAUUUGGAAAGAACUUAUCCUCAAAAUGAUCUUUAAUUUUAAAAUGCAUGCCGUUAAAUGUCAUUUUGGCAAAUUCUGAUUCCGGCAUCCUUACAAAACAUCGGCUUCGAGCCGUCUUGAAUCGGUUCAAAUAUUCAUCAACCGAUUCUCCUAUUUUUUGUCUAAAUUGAGCCAAAUCUGCAACCGACAACUCCGGCUCGGUUCUAUAGAAUUGCUAAUAAAAUUUACCCUCUAAUUCGUCCCAGUCUCGGACAGAAUUAGUAGGUAGACUCGUGUACCAAGUGAAGGCAGUCUUGGUAAGUGAAGUAUUGAAUAAUCUUAAUUUUAGAAAAGGAUCUGCCGCUGCUUCGUGGCAUUAGGCUGUGAAUCGAGCGACGUGUUCGACCGUAUUCUCGGUCUCAUCGCCCGAGAACUUGUCGAACUUCGGCAUUUUCCAGUUUGCCGGAUACGGCUGCUCUAUAUCUAUGUUUGCUGGGUACGGGGAUCGAAAAACAGGCCGCAUAGCCGGCCUGGCCCCUACUCCGAAGGUAUUCCGAAUGACUUUCUCAAUCUGAGCAUACAGCGGAGCUUGUGCUUGAGCCGAAUUUGGCCUUUGAGGAACUCCAGAAUUCUGUAUUGCAGGGUUCGCUCCUUGCAUAUCAUUAGGGGCCUGCCUCCCAGCCCUAAUCCCUAUAUUUUGGGGCUGAUAAGCUGGUAAAGGAGGUAAACCCGAUGUAAUCUCCGACUGAGGGCCGGCAUUUAUAUUCACCGGCCUGUAAGCAACCUGGAAAGGUGCCAUUUGCGGUUGUGCCUGUGAGACCGCCGGCUUGACUGGAUUUUGUUGCAUCGACACAUUUAGGGGCCCUUGUUGCCCCCCAUAAGGUUGCUCGUUUCGGGUAAAUAAUUGUCUGAUUCGACCAAUAUUUUCAUUAUAGGCCGUGAUAGCGGCCAGCACCGCGUCUAGUCGAGCGGUACUUUGAUGAAUAUUUUGAUCUAAAGUUUGCAGUACUCGGCUCAUCUGGCCGAGUGCCUGAGUUAGACUCGGCUUUUGAUGAGCCGACUGUCCAAUAGUUUCUCCUUCAACUAGCAAAACUGCUUGACAUUCGCCAGCAUUGUCUGAAUCACUUGGUUGAUCACUCCCAGAAUUUCUAGGAAUGGCCCUAUUAUGUAGAUUUAUGGCGUUAUCAUCAGCCAUAAUCUUAAAAAUAGAGUCUCACCGGGCGUGCCAAAAUAUUGUUGGUGGCCGAAAUUCCCGACCCUGGACCUAGUCAACGAUCCUCCUCUGGGAGCGCGUCGGGAUGUGGAACGGCUGCGUAUAGUGACCCUCGGAGUUUACGCCCUUCGAUAGAUCAGGCGAUUCGGCUGACGAGGGAUCGAGCCAGCCAGGUUUGAAAACCACUACUAUAGAAUCGGUUCGGCUGGAGGAGCCGAAUGUAUGAACUGUGCAGGGAUCAAUGUCGGCAGAAGAGCCGAAUGGAAAAAGUACACAGUAAUUGGUCGGCUGAAAGAGCCGAGAUCGAAUCAGCCGAGUCUGAAAGCUUUUUUCACUCUUCGGUUCGGCUGGAUGAGCUGAAUAUGUGGGGAAAGUCGGAAAUUACGCCGGGAGAUGAGCCGAAUGGCUAGCACAACACAAAAUCUGGUCGGCCUGAAUAGCUGAACGUGACUUUCUAUUGAAUAGAAGAUGAAAAAGUACAAUCGCAGGGGAGUGAUGCCCGUGGGGCAGACAGACUCCAAGUAUAUUCUACAAGGGAGUGAUGCCCAUGGGGCAGACAUACUCCAAGUAUAUUCUAUAAGGGAGUGAUGCCCAUGGGGCAGACAGACUCCAAAGAUCUAAGUUACAGGAACUACUCCUAGGGAAAGCAGUAAAUGCGGAAAAGAAAAAGAUUACAUUUAGACUACUCCUAGAAAAGCGAUAAAAUGCAGAGGAAAUAAGGGUGGUCUUUUGUGCGCAGGGGCAAAGACCUCUAUUGCAAGCUUCAAAGUUACUAUUUAUAGCCCGCAUUAUUAGUUGGUUGAAAGUAGUUGGGGGGAGUGGUUGUAACCAUGAUCGUGGAAGUUAUACUAACUUCUCAUGGAAGUUACGCUAACUCCUCAUGGAAGUUACGCCCCAAUCUUCAACCGUUCCCGCCUUCUUGUCCUUCAGGCGCCUUAUUGCCGACUCCUGGUGUACCACGUGUCCUUAUUGGCUCAUACGUGGGUUAGGUCGGCUCAAUUUUGGUAUCAACAUUUAUAAUAAUAGAUAAAUCCUAAUACGACUAGCAAUACAAAUCUACUAAAAUUAGGAAUGAUUUCAAUUAGAUUAGAUAUAAUCUAAACUUAACUUAAUAGGAUAAUCAAGAUAGAAUAGAGUUAGGAAAUCCUUGUGCUUCCAAAAAUUCGAGAUACAUCUAACAAUCUCUAGCUUGGCUUGAAUUUUUUCUCUUCUCCACCAAAACCCCAAAAGCUCCAGAAGUGUUGUUACACAUGCGAACCAAAUUUACAGAAUACUUGAACUUGGUUACUAAAAGAGACUUAAUAAGCAAAUCCUGUUGGGUUCUCUGAAGUGCCAAACUUCUCAUUCUCCAAUUACGCCUUUUUGCAACUUCUAUUACAUCGGAACGACAAUUUGUCAUAGAGCGAAAUUGCUGGAGUGAUUAAAGUUCUCGAUCUCAAAUUUUGUCGACAUCUUAAACACCUAAACGAACAAUCCGACUAUGAUACCAGUUUGUUAGAAGUCUGCGAUUUACAGUGAUAUCAGAUUUUCUCUGAUACCAGUUUAUUAUGACAAAAGUGGAAAUUCUAUAGUUCGUUGGAUGUGAAAAUACCAAAGAAAAAUUGAGAAAGAGAGAAGAAAAAUAAAGCACACAAAAAUUUAUGUGGUUCAGCCAAUAGCCUACAUCCACGGAUGAAGACGUAGUGGAGAUUUUCAUUAUAAUCAAAGUAGUAUAUAAAAUAUAGCUCUCUCACAAAAAUUGAGUCUUAAAAAUACACCCAUACUCCCUCUUAUCUACUGCACUAAAUCAACAGAAUAAAAAUAUAUUUAUAAUAGUGACUAAAUUGUAAUAUAAUUAGGACUACAAGUUUACUUAGAUCAGAAAUAAUCAUAAUUAAAUUAGGCAUAAUAUAGACUUAGUUUAAUGAAAUAAUUAAAGC